GCGGUUGUGGAGGAGAGGAAUUUGGAGGAAGAGAAGAGGAGAGACGAGCGCCAUUUUGAGAAGGAAUGGACUCCCAAGUUGUAGGAGGAAGCCAUGGAUCUUCGCCUUCAGAUUGUCCAACAAGGAAGCAAAGUUGGCGUCCACUGCCAUUUUCGCUUUGAAUUGAUGUAGCACUACUUGCACUAGCAACUGUAGUUUCCUGC
This 203-nucleotide unclassified non-coding RNA is filed under the name Hevea brasiliensis (rubber tree). The record is from RNAcentral. Lineage: Eukaryota; Viridiplantae; Streptophyta; Magnoliopsida; Malpighiales; Euphorbiaceae.